GUUGUUGGGUAGGGGAGCGUUCUGUAAGCCUGUGAAGGUGUGCUGUGAGGCAUGCUGGAGGUAUCAGAAGUGCGAAUGCUGACAUAAGUAACGAUAAAGCGGGUGAAAAGCCCGCUCGCCGGAAGACCAAGGGUUCCUGUCCAACGUUAAUCGGGGCAGGGUGAGUCGACCCCUAAGGCGAGGCCGAAAGGCGUAGUCGAUGGGAAACAGGUUAAUAUUCCUGUACUUGGUGUUACUGCGAAGGGGGGACGGAGAAGGCUAUGUUGGCCGGGCGACGGUUGUCCCGGUUUAAGCGUGUAGGCUGGUUUUCCAGGCAAAUCCGGAAAAUCAAGGCUGAGGCGUGAUGACGAGGCACUACGGUGCUGAAGCAACAAAUGCCCUGCUUCCAGGAAAAGCCUCUAAGCAUCAGGUAACAUCAAAUCGUACCCCAAACCGACACAGGUGGUCAGGUAGAGAAUACCAAGGCGCUUGAGAGAACUCGGGUGAAGGAACUAGGCAAAAUGGUGCCGUAACUUCGGGAGAAGGCACGCUGAUAUGUAGGUGAAGUCCCUCGCGGAUGGAGCUGAAAUCAGUCGAAGAUACCAGCUGGCUGCAACUGUUUAUUAAAAACACAGCACUGUGCAAACACGAAAGUGGACGUAUACGGUGUGACGCCUGCCCGGUGCCGGAAGGUUAAUUGAUGGGGUUAGC
This 690-nucleotide ribosomal RNA is filed under the name Escherichia coli. Its description in RNAcentral is "bacterial LSU rRNA". It matches the Rfam family "Bacterial large subunit ribosomal RNA", at positions 1220 to 1894 of the family's 2925-position model. Lineage: Bacteria; Pseudomonadati; Pseudomonadota; Gammaproteobacteria; Enterobacterales; Enterobacteriaceae. The record is from RNAcentral.